GCUGUGAAUGGGGUUUGUGGGCUGGCUUGAGAAAUGAGUUGUCAUUACAUCAUUUUAUGGUGAAAAGCUUCCCCACUUCAGGGCACUUGGUACCAGGGUUUUGUGGGCCACGCCUCCUCCUGCAGGUGUAGUCCCGCCCCAUGGGGGAGGGAUCGGCAGUGGGGAGUUCUGAGGGUCCAGAAACUCCGCACGGACUGCACGAGGUGGGUCAGGUCGCUCUGAGCCUAAGUCACCUCUAAAGGAGGGCAGGCGGGGCUUUGGGGAUCUCUCUGCCACAGUGACUCGCGAGCCUGCCGGUUCUUCUAGGUUGCCAGUUCCCGGGAAGGCAGUUCGGAUCACUGCUCAGUGCAGCCAGAUGGAGGCGGAAGUUUACGUUGCUCCAAGAGGUUGCAUGUGGUUCGUGCUUUCCUCAACAAAUGACUUCCCCUAUUGGAAACUUCAGCAUGAAAAGAAAUGCCUGACUCUGAGGUGAAACGUGAUCCUUCUGUGGCCAUAAACUUUAAACUCAAUUUAUUACGUUGGAGAGGUUUUUGGACAAACCUGUAAGGAAAUUAUAUCACACAAUCAUUGUUUUCUAAAGAAUAGACUACAGGGAAGGAGAAUUGAUCUUACAGCUGCAUUUGAUUUGGUAAAGCAACUAAGAGAAAAAAUAUCCAAGACUCUAAGACCACAACAUGUUUAGCUGUAAAAGUGCUUUUCUGAAGAUCUCACUCUCAUCUGCUAUCUUUUGACUGUCCAAGGCCAAGGCAUUUGCAGAUCAUAUAUGUACUGUUUCCAAAGUGGAUAUGUGGACUCACUAGAAUGCUAAGACCAAAAGUAAAUGGUUUACUAUAAAAGACACAUUUUACAGUCAUGAACAAUCUGGUUUGGGAAAGAAAACUCUACAAACAUACAUGCUGGAAUUAAAUUUCACGACUCCAUGAAGGCAGGGAAAGGGUAAAAUUUUAAGGUUGGAAAGGAUCAUCCAGUUAAAAUCUCUUAUUGAUACACAAAGAACCUGAAAUCCAGAGAAGUUAGUGAUUUACACAAGGUCACCCACUUAGGUUGUGUCCUGGCUGAGUCUAGUUCUCAGAACCAUGGUCCCCAAACCCCCUUCUUUAAUACCACUGUGAUUUCUUAAGGCAGCAUCAAAUUUCUGGUCCGGGUUACAGCAUUAACAUCCCCAACUGUAAUGUGUCCUAAGACUGUUAACGACACUGAUUAAGUGUUCCAUAUAGAUGAUGUGUCAGUGACGCUUCCUGAUUUUGAUGGAGUUCAGUAUAUUAUUAGUAACAGAGGAAGAGGUGUGUGUGUGUGUGUGUGUGUGUGUGUGUGUGUGUGUGUGUCUAUAACUACUUUGGGGAUCUCUCUCUCCCUCCCUCUCUCUCUGUUUCAGAAAGGGAAUUUGAGUAACCAUGGCUUUUCCAGCCCACCAGGAAAUGACUGAAACUUAACCAGAUAAAUCAAAGAUGCUGUGAUUUGGCCAAUCAUUAUUUUGUCUGAUGUACAUCUGAACCAUAGUACUGAGUUCUCAGGGUUUAUAAGACUUACAUCAUGGAACAAGUCACAUGAAAAGAUCACACAUUCCUGUGGCCUCUGCAUAAGGGGUUGGGGGUGGGAAAGAUGCAUGGUGGGAGAAGUGAUUAUAUGUUGCCUGGAAGUUUGUCUAUAGCACAGAUAGAGCAUGUGUGAUAGAGCACCUGGUCAAA
Long non-coding RNA from Neofelis nebulosa (Clouded leopard), 1688 nucleotides. RefSeq lists it as uncharacterized. The record is from RefSeq and is a predicted model, not a curated record. The transcript has 2 exons. Lineage: Eukaryota; Metazoa; Chordata; Mammalia; Carnivora; Felidae.